CACAUAGUUAGCCGGUGCUUCUUCUGCAGGUACCGUCACUUGCGCUUCGUCCCUGCUGAAAGAGGUUUACAACCCGAAGGCCGUCAUCCCUCACGCGGCGUCGCUGCAUCAGGCUUCCGCCCAUUGUGCAAUAUUCCCCACUGCUGCCUCCCGUAGGAGUCUGGGCCGUAUCUCAGUCCCAAUGUGGCCGAUCACCCUCUCAGGCCGGCUACCCGUCGUCGCCUUGGUAGGCCAUCACCCCACCAACAAGCUGAUAGGCCGCGGGCUCAUCCUACACCGAAAAACUUUCCACCAAACCCCAUAAGGAGAAAAGGUCAUAUCCAGUAUUAGACCCAGUUUCCCAGGCUUAUCCCAGAGUGCAGGGCAGAUUACCACGUGUUACUCACCCGUUCGCCACUCGAGUACUCCAGCAAGCUGGAGCCUUUCGUCGACUUGCAUGUGUUAAGCACGCCGCCAGCGUCUCCUGAGCAGGAUCGAAACUACU
This 484-nucleotide ribosomal RNA is filed under the name uncultured Actinomycetales bacterium. RNAcentral's name for it is "partial 16S ribosomal RNA". Lineage: Bacteria; Bacillati; Actinomycetota; Actinomycetes; Actinomycetales. The record is from RNAcentral.